RNAcentral lists this ribosomal RNA (505 nucleotides) under uncultured bacterium. RNAcentral's name for it is "partial 16S ribosomal RNA". It matches the Rfam family "Bacterial small subunit ribosomal RNA", at positions 28 to 507 of the family's 1533-position model. The record is from RNAcentral.
GACGAACGCUGGCGGCGUGCCUAAUACAUGCAAGUAGAACGCACAGUUUAUACCGUAGCUUGCUACACCAUAGACUGUGAGUUGCGAACGGGUGAGUAACGCGUAGGUAACCUGCCUGGUAGCGGGGGAUAACUAUUGGAAACGAUAGCUAAUACCGCAUAAUAUUAAUUAUUGCAUGAUAAUUAAUUGAAAGGUGCAAUUGCACCACUACCAGAUGGACCUGCGUUGUAUUAGCUAGUAGGUGAGGUAACGGCUCACCUAGGCGACGAUACAUAGCCGAACUGAGAGGGUGGUCGGCCACACUGGGACUGAGACACGGCCCAGACUCCUACGGGAGGCAGCAGUAGGGAAUCUUCGGCAAUGGACGAAAGUCUGACCGAACAACGCCGCGUGAGUGAAGAAGGUUUUCGGAUCGUAAAGCUCUGUUGUAAGAGAAGAACGGGUGUGAGAGUGGAAAGUUCACACUGUGACGGUAUCUUACCAGAAAGGGACGGCUAACUACGUG